Molecule: ribosomal RNA, 432 nt
Filed under: uncultured bacterium
Lineage: Bacteria
Description: partial 16S ribosomal RNA
Rfam family: Bacterial small subunit ribosomal RNA
Source: RNAcentral
CCUACGGGUGGCUGCAGUGGGGAAUAUUGGACAAUGGGCGGAAGCCUGAUCCAGCAACGCCGCGUGAGGGAUGACGGCCUUCGGGUUGUAAACCUCUUUCAGCACAGACGCGGUAUGUGCAGAAGAAGGACCGGCCAACUACGUGCCAGCAGCCGCGGUAAUACGUAGGGUCCGAGCGUUGUCCGGAAUUAUUGGGCGUAAAGGGCUCGUAGGCGGUUUGUCGCGUCGGGAGUGAAAGCCAGCAGCUUAACUGCUGGUCUGCUUUCGAUACGGGCAGACUUGAGGCAUUCAGGGGAGAACGGAAUUCCUGGUGUAGCGGUGAAAUGCGCAGAUAUCAGGAGGAACACCGGUGGCGAAGGCGGUUCUCUGGGAAUGUCUGACGCUGAGGAGCGAAAGUGUGGGGAGCGAACAGGAUUAGAUACCCCUGUAGUC